Molecule: ribosomal RNA, 265 nt
Filed under: uncultured archaeon
Lineage: Archaea
Description: partial 16S ribosomal RNA
Rfam family: Archaeal small subunit ribosomal RNA
Source: RNAcentral
ACACGACUACAUUAGAUACCCCGGUAGUCCUAGCCGUAAACGAUACUCGCUAGGUGUCGGCCACGGUGCGACCGUUGUCGGUGCCGUAGGGAUGCCGUGAAGCGAGCCACCUGGGAAGUACGGCCGCAAGGCUGAAACUUAAAGGAAUUGGCGGGGGAGCACCACAACGGGUGGAGCUUGCGGUUUAAUUGGAUUCAACGCCGGAAAUCUUACCGGGACCGACAGCAACAUGAAGGCCAGGCUGAAGACUUUGCCGGAUUAGCUG